This 510-nucleotide long non-coding RNA is filed under the name Fukomys damarensis (Damara mole-rat). RNAcentral's name for it is "lncRNA (ENSFDAG00000025402.1)". Lineage: Eukaryota; Metazoa; Chordata; Mammalia; Rodentia; Bathyergidae. The record is from RNAcentral.
CCAUGACCAUCUUUCCUGUCCCGUCAGCCUCAACUUUACUCAUACAGUUUCCUCUUUUCACUUUGGUCAAGAGGAGGGGCAGAACGUUUGACUGGAGCACUAGCUAAUGGUAAUUCAUUGCUGCCUUUUGUCUUACAGCCUCUAAGAGAUCUGGACAGCAAAGGCCGAUGCAUUUCUCAGUUUGGGGUCAGUUUCUUUCACCGGCAGCGCUACAUAACUCAGAUACAGACAGGAAUCAUCUCCUGGCAGAGUUUUGGUGCGAAGCAUCCUUCUUUUCUUAUUCUGAAGAUGAGCACUGAGGAGGUGACUUACACAACCCUGAGAUUUCUUCAGUCUCCUUCAGAGGCACGGAAUAAACUAAGACCCAAUGCAACUAAACGGCCCAGAGAAGCUGAUGAGAAAGGUUUAUGUUUUAAGCAACUACACUGACCUGUUUCUUAUGACUUGCCAAGCUUCUGACAUUUGGAGGAAAGGUCUUAUCUUCCCCUUCUAAUUGUCAGCUGGUAGCGC